Molecule: ribosomal RNA, 507 nt
Filed under: Pratylenchus penetrans
Lineage: Eukaryota; Metazoa; Nematoda; Chromadorea; Rhabditida; Pratylenchidae
Description: SSU rRNA
Rfam family: Eukaryotic small subunit ribosomal RNA
Source: RNAcentral
CGCGAAUGGCUCAUUACACCAGCUAUAAUUUAUUUGAUCUGACAAACUUACAUGGAUAACUGAGGUAAUUCUUGAGCUAAUACAUGCACCAAAGCUUUGACCGCAAGGGAAGAGCGCAUUUGUUAGAACAAAACCAAACGGCUUCGGCUGUUCCCAGUUGAAUCAGAAUAACUCAGCUGAUCGUACGGUCUUGCACCGACGACGUGUCUUUCAAGUAUCUGCUUUAUCAACUUUCGAUGGUAGGGUAUCUGCCUACCACUGGUGGUGCCGGAUAACGGAGGAUCAGGGUCCGACUCCGGAGAAGGGGCCUGAGAAAUGGCCACUACGUCUAAGGAUGGCAGCAGGCGCGCAAAUUACCCACUCUCAGAAUUUGGAGGAGGUAGUGACGAGAAAUAACGAGGUUGAUCUCUUCUGAGGCGGACCAUCGGAAGGGGUACAAUUUAAACCCUUUAACGAGUAUCUAUGAGAGGGCAAGUCUGGUGCCAGCACGCCGCGGUAAUUCCAGCU